Phasianus colchicus (ring-necked pheasant) is the source of this 514-nucleotide long non-coding RNA. RefSeq lists it as uncharacterized. Lineage: Eukaryota; Metazoa; Chordata; Aves; Galliformes; Phasianidae. The record is from RefSeq and is a predicted model, not a curated record.
AAUUGCUGGUAGUGCAAAGGGCGUGAGAACAGCUGAGACAGUUCAGCACAUACAAGGUUCUAGGAGCUGAUUGAUUUUAAACGCAAAUCUUGCCUUCAAGCAGAAAUCUGAUAUCCACCCUGGCAAGGGAGACAGAAUCCUGCAGAUCUGACUUCACAGGUCGCUGCUAUAUGGCACAGCAAGCUUCUCCUUGGAGUCUCUAACUGAAACUAGCACUAAUGGUGACUACGCUGAAAGAGACAGAUACACUCCCUCAUGAGCCUUGGAUCUUGCCAGGAUCUCAUAAUGGCUGCCACAGAAACCUAAGGAUCAGUUGACUAGUUCUAAUCUAGAUGAUACAUCUCCUCCUGUAACAGACUUCCUCCCCUGACACAUCCAGGGAAGGGUUCAGAAUGAUAGUUGUGAGAGUCAGUAAUGAACCUGUGUACUAUCAAAUUCCCAUUAUGUUGUUACAAAACCAUUUCUGAAAAGGUAUACUGGAGCUUGUUUCACACAAAGACUUUACGUUUAAAAU